GUGCUCACUUUGAAAGCACAUACACUAAAAUUAGAAUGACAAAGUAGAUUAGUAUGGACCUUUGCACAAGGAUGACAUGAAUAUUUGUAAAGCAUUCCAUAUUUUU
Meriones unguiculatus (Mongolian gerbil) is the source of this 106-nucleotide small nuclear RNA. The record is from Ensembl. NCBI's taxonomy places the organism in Eukaryota, Metazoa, Chordata, Mammalia, Rodentia, Muridae.